RNAcentral lists this long non-coding RNA (1514 nucleotides) under Olea europaea subsp. europaea. The record is from RNAcentral. Lineage: Eukaryota; Viridiplantae; Streptophyta; Magnoliopsida; Lamiales; Oleaceae.
AUAACAUAUAUCAUAUUUUUUAUUGCUUAUGAUUGGAUAUGUGAACUGUUGAAAUGAAUUUGUUAUGGCUUAAAAUCAAGAAUUGAAACGAAAAAUUAUUGGCCAGACUAGUUUGGUUUCAACUUGAAUUGUCUUUUUGGUACCAUUGAAACGAUAAAUUUUAAAAAUUGAACCUUGAUAAAUAAUCAGUUCUUUUAUUGAUUUUUAGGUACUUCUGUUGUUACUAUUGGUUGCCGAUCUAUUAGUCUAUGUUAUCUAUCUGUCCCCAGUGGCAUUCUAUACUCUUCCGUUUAGGAUUGCACCCUAUAUACGGGUUGUAUUUUUCAUCCUGAACAUCAGGUAUGGUAUGGGUAGUUGGAUACCCUAUUACAGUUUUUCUCCUGCAUUAUGUUCUCAUUUGUGCUUUCUGGAUUUUUCGUCUUUCCCUGGGGUGCUAUGUCCCAUUAGGAUUUAUACAUUGGUUUUGGAAUAACUCUUCCUGAUUACAAAGUUCCAUCUUCUAGCUGGCACGCUCUUGAACAUUGAAAUCCUAUUGUUGUCUUUUGGACUAAGGUUUGGGAUUAUCAUUUGGUGGAAAAGUUUGCCUGUCAAUUCGGGUAGAUGAGUUUUCCAGUUUUGAUGCUGCUUUUCAACUGGUAGAAGCAGUCUUCACAAGGUGAACAUUGGUUUUUAUUGGAAUCAUGUUCAGAUGGAUGCAAGGUUAUGGACUGAAUAAAUUACCAAAUUUACAAUAUAUGAAACUGAUUUCCACCUUUCGACUAUACAUAGGUGAAAACUUAAAACCAUGAUAAGCAUAUCAUUCAUUAGAAUUGAUUGUCAGUUAUGGUGCCCACUUGAGGGCGAUUGCUUGGAGAAAGAAGAGGUUGGAAUUUGUUGAUUUUCAAUUAACCCAACACACAGGAAGAGGAAAUACCAUUCUUCCCAAAAAGGAUACUCUAAGCCAAUCAUAUGCCACGUAGCAUCAUUUAAUUCCUUCGCGUGACUGCUAAUUUCCACUAACUGAAUUGCUUCUUAAUUUUGUAAAUUGACAUUAGGGAUUUACGAGAUAGCAUUGUCAUCCUGGCUGGAAUGUUCGGCACGUACCUUAAUAUUCUGGUGCGUCCACUUAGUAGUUCUGGUACUUAUCUUCAAAAGAAUUUAUUACACAUAUAAUUGAAGUAUUGCCACUAUUAUGAUCUUUCUAUCUCUUCAAUUUCACGAGUGAAAUUUGAUUGUGCUUUUUGCCUUUCUGGGGACCUAAUGCAGGCUCUAUGGGCUUUGUUUCUCUUGUUCUGUAGCUGGUUGGCAUUUGUUAUUUUUGAAGAUACGCAACAGGGAAAGACUAUAUUCACUUCAUAUGGUACCACAUUAUACCAAAUGUUUGUUUUAUUUACGACUUCCAAUAACCCAGAUGUCUGGAUUCCUGCAUACAAGUAAGUAGCUUUGAAACAUUGGUUUUUUAGAUUCAUCCUCUUCUCUCUUUCUAAUAUUGCCUAUUUAUUAUGCUGCAUUCCUUCCCCCUACCUUGCACCGUU